UAGGGAAUCUUCGGCAAUGGGGUGAACCCUGACCGAGCAACGUCGCGUGAGUGAAGAAGGUUUUCGGAUCGUAAAGCUCUGUUGUUAAGGAAGAACGAGUGUGAGAAUGGAAAGUUCAUGCUGUGACGGUACUUAACCAGAAAGGGACGGCUAACUACGUGCCAGCAGCCGCGGUAAUACGUAGGUCCCGAGCGUUGUCCGGAUUUAUUGGGCGUAAAGCGAGCGCAGGCGGUUAGAAAAGUCUGAAGUGAAAGGCAGUGGCUCAACCAUUGUAGGCUUUGGAAACUGUUUAACUUGAGUGCAGAAGGGAAGAGUGGAAUUCAAUGUGUAGCGGUGAAAUGCGUAGAUAUAUGGAGGAACACCGGUGGCGAAAGCGGCUCUCUGGUCUGUAACUGACGCUGAGGCUCGAAAGCGUGGGGAGCGAACAGG
Molecule: ribosomal RNA, 429 nt
Filed under: Bacteroidota bacterium
Lineage: Bacteria; Pseudomonadati; Bacteroidota
Description: Bacteroidetes bacterium partial 16S ribosomal RNA
Rfam family: Bacterial small subunit ribosomal RNA
Source: RNAcentral